This is a long non-coding RNA of Homo sapiens (human), 1630 nucleotides long. The record is from Ensembl. Lineage: Eukaryota; Metazoa; Chordata; Mammalia; Primates; Hominidae.
GCCUGGAGGUCUCUCACCCCCAGGUCCUGCUCAAAGCUGUGCACUUGGGCCCCCAGGCAUGCGGCUUGCUCCGGAAGGUCCCUUACCUGUGGCACUGAGCAUGUACUUCCUGCAGUGCAGUUAGAAAUGCCCAUCCGACUCUGCUUGCAAAGGCACAGCUGCUUAAAGACUGUUACCGGAAAGGAAUCCUGAUCCAGACGCCAAGAGAGGGUUCUUGGACUCAUGCAAGAAAGACUUCAGAAUACGAGUUUUGAAUUUUUGAAUUGCUGUUAAAACUUUCAUCAUGAACACUGAAGUGAGUGAAAAGAGACUUUUGCAGUCAUUUUUUUGUUCUCAGGUCCCUGGACCAUGAAGGGCCACAUCCAAGGAGCUACCCCAGGAGGCCUCUCAUUUGCAUUUGUCCCCGCUAAUGCAGGACAGAGAUCAUGGAAGUUGGGCCCGACUGGAUGAGAUUUGGGGGUCUUUGGAAGUGGAGAAUGUGUUUGCCCUGGGGAAGAGAGGUGAUGUCUAGGAGACCUCUUCACUCAGGGCAAGCUCUAUGACCUGCUUUGACUCCAGAAUGUGGUAGAAGUGGCAUCACAUAAAUUGCAGAGCCUAGGCUUCAAGAGACCUUGCAACUUGCCUCUCACUGACUUGAAGUGCUCCCAUCAGAGCAUCUUGUAAGGAGCAGGUGGAGCAUGUGGACAAGCCAUCCCCACCAGCCCCUGAGACAUGUGAGAGAGGCCAGAACAGGCCAUCCGGACCCCACUGUGCUGGUGGAUGAGACAGCAGAAGGAAUAUCAACCUACCAACAGAAUCCUGAGAAAUGCUCACUCUUACUUCAAGCUGCUGCAUUUUGAUGUUAUGAAACCAUAAAUAACUUAUGAAGUCAUCUUUGCUGACUUAAAGUUUUCCAUAACUUUAUUAUAACAUAUCAAAAUUAUGAAAAAUGUGAAAAGUAGAAAACUGAUGAAUUUUGCUUCUUCAUAUGGUCUUUAAGAAUCUCAAAGGCACUGAAGUUUUUUAUCUUUUCUGUCUUAGAAUAAAAAACCUUGAAUGAAAAUCUGCUUCUUGGAAAAGCAGCAAGGUUUAUGCAGAGGCAAUCUGGUAUUUGUGUGCACUGGCAGCUGAUCAUACCCAGCAUGCACGCACUCUCAGGGCAGAGUCUGAUGCCCCACAUAAUGGGGCAUGGUAAGGACUCCCAUGUCCUUGAGAUAAAAUGAUAAGGAAAAUACACACUGCUAUUAGAAUAACAGGCCCAGCUUCUGCACAUUUUAAUUCCCAAAGUUUUCAUGAAAGACAAUGAUUUUUUGGUACCAUGUUUAACUCUACAAGAAUCAGUAGUGAAAACUAAAAAUGAUACUUUGUGAAAGUUCAUUAAUUUUGUUUUCAGCCAGUGGUGGCCUUGGUCAGAUAGAAUCAAAUCUAUGAUACUUUUUAUCAGAAAUGCUUAUACUGUGUACAAACCCAAAGUGAUGGCUUUCAAAGAUUGAAUUUGAUUAUUUUCUGUAUGGUGCAGAUGAAAAAUUACUACACAGGAGAAGGUGGGUUGGAGGUGCUCACGAGUAACCAGGAAACAGUCUGAAGUUUUUCUGAUACUUCUCCUUGGUCCAACCAAAUGUGAGAUAUAAACACAAACUUGGGAUUCCGU